UUUGGAUAGGUGUAUACUAGUCUCUUUCUUUCCUUUCCCUGGUAUGGAAGGUAUAGGUCUAUAUAUACUUGGAAGAACCAGUCAAAUUCGGCAAAAUCCAUAUUAUAAUUUUCUUUGAUUUCUUAGAGAAACUGAGUUCCCCCAAUGCCCGGCAUACAGAGGAAGAUGAAGAGGGCAAGACGAAGACGUACAGGAGACGAGGUAAAGGGAUUUAAUUUCAAUUAUUAGAGUGUAAUGUAGAUGAUUAACUCUUUUCUGACGUCCAUUCUCAAUUCUGGCUACGUAGUACAUAUCCGAUGACGGUGAUUUUGGGGAGGACCUGCUUAGCGAGUUGCCGGAUGAAAUUCUUAUUUCAAUACUAUCUCGCCUAACCCUAAGGGAAGCUGCGGCUACCAGUGUUCUCUCACAGCGNN
This 413-nucleotide long non-coding RNA is filed under the name Vitis vinifera (wine grape). RNAcentral describes it as "long non-coding RNA (VVIN_LNC006402)". Lineage: Eukaryota; Viridiplantae; Streptophyta; Magnoliopsida; Vitales; Vitaceae. The record is from RNAcentral.